CGGACCUUCGAGUUUGACGACGGCCAAUGCGCCCCCAGUGUCCUGGGAUGCCAUGCGUCUGCCGCCCACCUAGUGACCAGUGCAGAGGCGCGGACCAGCGACCAGCA
RNAcentral lists this small RNA (107 nucleotides) under Pan troglodytes (chimpanzee). Its description in RNAcentral is "processed transcript". The record is from RNAcentral. Lineage: Eukaryota; Metazoa; Chordata; Mammalia; Primates; Hominidae.